Molecule: non-coding RNA, 614 nt
Organism: Puma concolor (puma)
Lineage: Eukaryota; Metazoa; Chordata; Mammalia; Carnivora; Felidae
Source: RefSeq, a predicted model, not a curated record
GUGAGCUUCCCGGAGGUGCUUUACGGCUGCGUUUGCAAAGCGCAGCGCCAAGUACUGGAGGGCGAGUCAGAAAGGCUCUCGCCAGAGAGCUGCAGGAUGGAGGAGAUCAAAGACUUGACGGUUCUACUGGCCCGGGAUGUUCCAUGUUCAAGGGAAGGAGGGAGGAGUCCCCAAAACACUGAUCUGCACUGAACACACAGACAAUGGCCAGACCAUAUGGAAAAACAGACCUCGGACAUCCACAGCCUGCAGAAACCCGGCCAGGAAAUCACCUCCUCAAAUACAGUAAACCACCCAGGACCAGCCAGAGAGUCAAAUAUGCACCCCCAACCAGUCAUACAGGAUGCCUGGCUUAUAGUCACCUGCCUUCCAGCUUCCGCACGCCAACAGCCUCCAGAGAAGGCACCAGGUUCCAGGUGCCACUGCCACAGACUGACCUGGUGUGUCCCCGCCAGCUCCUCCGCCACGUCCCUCCUCUGGGCGUGUGACCCUGGCUGCGGCAAGGUCAGAGCAAGAAAGACGGACUGACCUUUGCUCCAGGAUAUUUGUCAGCUUCUCUCAGUGAAUAAACAGCUUUGCCGUCACCAACACAGUCUUUCUGGAAACUCAGCUGG